RNAcentral lists this small RNA (1144 nucleotides) under Caenorhabditis elegans. RNAcentral describes it as "Unclassified non-coding RNA Y39E4B.18". Lineage: Eukaryota; Metazoa; Nematoda; Chromadorea; Rhabditida; Rhabditidae. The record is from RNAcentral.
UUCAACGAAUGUCUCCUGGUACAUUGCUUGCCAUAUAUGGAGGAAUGCGUCUGCCCAGGAACUCCCAGAAGCUUAAAAGAGCGGCUUUUCGGGCUUUAUUCGCUCUAUACUUUCUAUUACAUACAACAAGAAAAGCAUGUCGUUAAAGUUCGUAUGGACCCGGAUUCAUCUCGCAACUUCCGAAGGUUCGCACAGUUUCUGCUGACGGAGAAGAUUUACGAUGCUUAUGCGUUGUGCCAGAAGUUGCUCGAGGAUAAGGCUAUCAAGCAAGUCGCAUUCAUAUCGAUUGUAUGGUUUUUUUAGGAAAAAUCUAAAAAUUGGCUAAAAAUGACUGACAAUAGUCAAAAAUUGGCCAAAAAAUGACUGACAAUAGUCAAAAAUUGGCCAAAAAUGACUGAAAAUAGUCAAAAAUAGGCCAAAAAACUACGAAUUACAGAAAUUGGCACGAAAUCAUUAAAAACGGCAAAAAAUGACCAACUUUUGCCAGGUUUGGCCAUUUUAUAGGCUUUUCUGAGUCAUUUUUUGCGAUUUAUAAUAAUUAUGGACAUUUUUGACCUAUUUCGGUUAUUUUUGACAUUUUACAGUAAUUUUUGACUAUUUUCAGUCAUUUUGGUCAACUUUUGACGAUUUUCAGUCAUUUUUUGGCCAAUUUUUGACUAUUUUUAGUCAAUUUUUGCCUAUCUUCGGUCAAUUUUUGCCUAUUUUCUGUCAUUUCUGGUCAAUUUUUUGCCAAUUUUUCAAAUUUUCAGCACGACCCGUCUCAUUUCAAGCGAUUCUACACGGAUGACAAGGUAUCCGGUGUGAGCAUUCGCACAAAUCUCAAUGAUCCGCUGGUCAAUGUGAAAGCUCUUGUAGAGCAGUUUGACGCCUUGGGUGUGAUUCAUAAAGAGUAUUCAAGACUGAAGAUGAAGCUGGGAAUCACUUCAUGGAUGAAGCUGAAAGACCCGAUUGAGGAGCUGAAGAAGAUUAUCAAGACGAGCUUGCAAGCCGUGGAGAGCUCUUCCGGCGUUGACGAGAUUGUGCAUACAGAUCACUCGGCUCAACAGCUCGCUUCUCGUGGAAUGCAAAGAUCGUCGAUCAAGGAUCAAGCUCACUCGGCGGCUCUCAAGUUUUCGAGAACUCGACGCCAUCGAUCAGUUAAACG